AUUGAACGCUGGCGGCAGGCCUAACACAUGCAAGUCGAGCGGAUGAAGGGAGCUUGCUCCUGGAUUCAGCGGCGGACGGGUGAGUAAUGCCUAGGAAUCUGCCUGGUAGUGGGGGAUAACGUCCGGAAACGGGCGCUAAUACCGCAUACAUCCUGAGGGAGAAAGUGGGGGAUCUUCGGACCUCACGCUAUCAGAUGAGCCUAGGUCGGAUUAGCUAGUUGGUGGGGUAAAGGCCUACCAAGGCGACGAUCCGUAACUGGUCUGAGAGGAUGAUCAGUCACACUGGAACUGAGACACGGUCCAGACUCCUACGGGAGGCAGCAGUGGGGAAUAUUGGACAAUAGGCGAAAGCCUGAUCCAGCCAUGCCGCGUGUGUGAAGAAGGUCUUCGGAUUGUAAAGCACUUUAAGUUGGGAGGAAGGGCAGUAAGUUAAUACCUUGCUGUUUUGACGUUACCAACAGAAUAAGCACCGGCUAACUUCGUG
RNAcentral lists this ribosomal RNA (484 nucleotides) under uncultured bacterium. Its description in RNAcentral is "partial 16S ribosomal RNA". It matches the Rfam family "Bacterial small subunit ribosomal RNA", at positions 30 to 507 of the family's 1533-position model. The record is from RNAcentral.